UCCGAUUUGUCACCGGCAGUCUCCUAUGAGUCCCCGUCUUUCACGCUGGCAACAUAGGACAGGGGUUGCGCUCGUUGCGGACUUAACCCAACAUCUCACGACACAAGCUGACGACAGCCAUGCACCACCUGUGCACCGGCCCCGAAGGGCUGCCGUAUUUCUACGACAUUCCAGUGCAUGUCAAGCCUUGGUAAGGUUCUUCGCGUCGCGUCGAAUUAAACCACACGCUCCGCUGCUUGUGCGGGUCCCCGUCAAUUCCUUUGAGUUUUAGUCUUGCGACCGUACUCCCCAGGCGGCGUGCUAAAUGCGUUAACGACGGCACCGCAGGGGUCAAUACCCGCGACACCUAGCACUCAACGUUUACGGCGUGGACUAC
This 376-nucleotide unclassified non-coding RNA is filed under the name uncultured Gaiellales bacterium. Its description in RNAcentral is "contains 16S-23S intergenic spacer region". Lineage: Bacteria; Bacillati; Actinomycetota; Thermoleophilia; Gaiellales. The record is from RNAcentral.